RNAcentral lists this ribosomal RNA (694 nucleotides) under uncultured bacterium. RNAcentral describes it as "bacterial SSU rRNA". It matches the Rfam family "Bacterial small subunit ribosomal RNA", at positions 141 to 851 of the family's 1533-position model. The record is from RNAcentral.
GGACAACAGUUGGAAACGACUGCUAAUACCGCAUAAGCCCACGACCCGGCAUCGGGUAGAGGGAAAAGGAGCAAUCCGCUUUGAGAUGGCCUCGCGUCCGAUUAGCUAGUUGGUGAGGUAAUGGCCCACCAAGGCGACGAUCGGUAGCCGGACUGAGAGGUUGAACGGCCACAUUGGGACUGAGACACGGCCCAGACCCCUACGGGAGGCAGCAGUGGGGAAUAUUGCACAAUGGGGGAAACCCUGAUGCAGCGACGCCGCGUGGAGGAAGAAGGUCUUCGGAUUGUAGACUCCUGUUGUUGAGGAAGAUAAUGACGGUACUCAACAAGGAAGUGACGGCUAACUACGUGCCAGCAGCCGCGGUAAAACGUAGGUCACAAGCGUUGUCCGGAAUUACUGGGUGUAAAGGGAGCGCAGGCGGGAAGACAAGUUGGAAGUGAAAUCCAUGGGCUCAACCCAAGAACUGCUUUCAAAACUGUUUUUCUUGAGUAGUGCAGAGGUAGGCGGAAUUCCCGGUGUAGCGGUGGAAUGCGUAGAUAUCGGGAGGAACACCAGUGGCGAAGGCGGCCUACUGGGCACCAACUGACGCUGAGGCUCGAAAGUGUGGGUAGCAAACAGGAUUAGAUACCCUGGUAGUCCACACUGUAAACGAUGAUUACUAGGUGUUGGAGGAUUGACCCCUUCAGUGCCGCAG